UCUGCCUGGCUCAUUGAAGCAUUGCUAGCUGUGAUUCCGGGCUGCUCUGGCAACCUGCAUGUAAUAUUUCCGUGACUGCUACAUUACAUUGCAGUGAGCAAAAAGCCAGAAAGGUUUCCUUUGCAAGGGUACCACAGCUCUUCUAGGAGCAUUGGCAACAACAAAGUCUCAUCACGUCAACUGAAACACUGUUACUUGGGUGUGAAUCUGCAAAAUGAAUUCUUUCCAUUGUCUGGGAGAGCAUGCUGGACUAUACAUGG
Molecule: long non-coding RNA, 260 nt
Filed under: Papio anubis (olive baboon)
Lineage: Eukaryota; Metazoa; Chordata; Mammalia; Primates; Cercopithecidae
Description: lncRNA (ENSPANG00000044440.1)
Source: RNAcentral